UUAAGCGACUAAGCGUACACGGUGGAUGCCCUGGCAGUCAGAGGCGAUGAAGGACGUGCUAAUCUGCGAUAAGCGUCGGUAAGGUGAUAUGAACCGUUAUAACCGGCGAUUUCCGAAUGGGGAAACCCAGUGUGAUUCGUCACACUAUCAUUAACUGAAUCCAUAGGUUAAUGAGGCGAACCGGGGGAACUGAAACAUCUAAGUACCCCGAGGAAAAGAAAUCAACCGAGAUUCCCCCAGUAGCGGCGAGCGAACGGGGAGGAGCCCAGAGCCUGAAUCAGUGUGUGUGUUAGUGGAAGCGUCUGGAAAGGCGCGCGAUACAGGGUGACAGCCCCGUACACAAAAAUGCACAUGCUGUGAGCUCGAUGAGUAGGGCGGGACACGUGGUAUCCUGUCUGAAUAUGGGGGGACCAUCCUCCAAGGCUAAAUACUCCUGACUGACCGAUAGUGAACCAGUACCGUGAGGGAAAGGCGAAAAGAACCCCGGCGAGGGGAGUGAAAAAGAACCUGAAACCGUGUACGUACAAGCAGUGGGAGCCUCUUAAUGGGGUGACUGCGUACCUUUUGUAUAAUGGGUCAGCGACUUAUAUUCUGUAGCAAGGUUAACCGAAUAGGGGAGCCGAAGGGAAACCGAGUCUUAACUGGGCGUUAAGUUGCAGGGUAUAGACCCGAAACCCGGUGAUCUAGCCAUGGGCAGGUUGAAGGUUGGGUAACACUAACUGGAGGACCGAACCGACUAAUGUUGAAAAAUUAGCGGAUGACUUGUGGCUGGGGGUGAAAGGCCAAUCAAACCGGGAGAUAGCUGGUUCUCCCCGAAAGCUAUUUAGGUAGCGCCUCGUGAAUUCAUCUCCGGGGGUAGAGCACUGUUUCGGCAAGGGGGUCAUCCCGACUUACCAACCCGAUGCAAACUGCGAAUACCGGAGAAUGUUAUCACGGGAGACACACGGCGGGUGCUAACGUCCGUCGUGAAGAGGGAAACAACCCAGACCGCCAGCUAAGGUCCCAAAGUCAUGGUUAAGUGGGAAACGAUGUGGGAAGGCCCAGACAGCCAGGAUGUUGGCUUAGAAGCAGCCAUCAUUUAAAGAAAGCGUAAUAGCUCACUGGUCGAGUCGGCCUGCGCGGAAGAUGUAACGGGGCUAAACCAUGCACCGAAGCUGCGGCAGCGACACUAUGUGUUGUUGGGUAGGGGAGCGUUCUGUAAGCCUGUGAAGGUGGCCUGUGAGGGUUGCUGGAGGUAUCAGAAGUGCGAAUGCUGACAUAAGUAACGAUAAAGCGGGUGAAAAGCCCGCUCGCCGGAAGACCAAGGGUUCCUGUCCAACGUUAAUCGGGGCAGGGUGAGUCGACCCCUAAGGCGAGGCCGAAAGGCGUAGUCGAUGGGAAACAGGUUAAUAUUCCUGUACUUGGUGUUACUGCGAAGGGGGGACGGAGAAGGCUAUGUUGGCCGGGCGACGGUUGUCCCGGUUUAAGCGUGUAGGCUGGUUUUCCAGGCAAAUCCGGAAAACCAAGGCUGAGGCGUGAUGACGAGGCACUACGGUGCUGAAGUGACAAAUGCCCUGCUUCCAGGAAAAGCCUCUAAGCAUCAGGUAACAUCAAAUCGUACCCCAAACCGACACAGGUGGUCAGGUAGAGAAUACCAAGGCGCUUGAGAGAACUCGGGUGAAGGAACUAGGCAAAAUGGUGCCGUAACUUCGGGAGAAGGCACGCUGAUAUGUAGGUGAAGCGACUUGCUCGUGGAGCUGAAAUCAGUCGAAGAUACCAGCUGGCUGCAACUGUUUAUUAAAAACACAGCACUGUGCAAACACGAAAGUGGACGUAUACGGUGUGACGCCUGCCCGGUGCCGGAAGGUUAAUUGAUGGGGUUAGCGGUAACGCGAAGCUCUUGAUCGAAGCCCCGGUAAACGGCGGCCGUAACUAUAACGGUCCUAAGGUAGCGAAAUUCCUUGUCGGGUAAGUUCCGACCUGCACGAAUGGCGUAAUGAUGGCCAGGCUGUCUCCACCCGAGACUCAGUGAAAUUGAACUCGCUGUGAAGAUGCAGUGUACCCGCGGCAAGACGGAAAGACCCCGUGAACCUUUACUAUAGCUUGACACUGAACAUUGAGCCUUGAUGUGUAGGAUAGGUGGGAGGCUUUGAAGUGUGGACGCCAGUCUGCAUGGAGCCGACCUUGAAAUACCACCCUUUAAUGUUUGAUGUUCUAACGUUGGCCCCUAAUCGGGGUUGCGGACAGUGUCUGGUGGGUAGUUUGACUGGGGCGGUCUCCUCCUAAAGAGUAACGGAGGAGCACGAAGGUUGGCUAAUCCUGGUCGGACAUCAGGAGGUUAGUGCAAUGGCAUAAGCCAGCUUGACUGCGAGCGUGACGGCGCGAGCAGGUGCGAAAGCAGGUCAUAGUGAUCCGGUGGUUCUGAAUGGAAGGGCCAUCGCUCAACGGAUAAAAGGUACUCCGGGGAUAACAGGCUGAUACCGCCCAAGAGUUCAUAUCGACGGCGGUGUUUGGCACCUCGAUGUCGGCUCAUCACAUCCUGGGGCUGAAGUAGGUCCCAAGGGUAUGGCUGUUCGCCAUUUAAAGUGGUACGCGAGCUGGGUUUAGAACGUCGUGAGACAGUUCGGUCCCUAUCUGCCGUGGGCGCUGGAGAACUGAGGGGGGCUGCUCCUAGUACGAGAGGACCGGAGUGGACGCAUCACUGGUGUUCGGGUUGUCAUGCCAAUGGCACUGCCCGGUAGCUAAAUGCGGAAGAGAUAAGUGCUGAAAGCAUCUAAGCACGAAACUUGCCCCGAGAUGAGUUCUCCCUGAGACUUAGAGUCUCCUGAAGGAACGUUGAAGACGACGACGUUGAUAGGCCGGGUGUGUAAGCGCAGCGAUGCGUUGAGCUAACCGGUACUAAUGAACCGUGAGGCUUAACCUU
Molecule: ribosomal RNA, 2902 nt
Filed under: Escherichia coli
Lineage: Bacteria; Pseudomonadati; Pseudomonadota; Gammaproteobacteria; Enterobacterales; Enterobacteriaceae
Also listed under: 9 other names
Description: bacterial LSU rRNA
Rfam family: Bacterial large subunit ribosomal RNA
Source: RNAcentral